GCCUCCAUUACCGCUCAGACGUUGACACGCCAUCCCCGCUCUCUCUCUUCCUCCAAGAACCGGAGAAUGGCGUGAAAUCGAAUCGUAAUGCGUUAGGCGCUCCUACCCCCUCGACGGCUAUAAAACCCUAGCAAUCGCUUCUUUCUCUCCAACACCCCCGCCCACAACUCCUCUCCCUCGAGCCUUCGCCUCGCUCUCUUCAACGGCGUCGCCACCCAAAGUGGUCGUGGAGCACCCGAAAUCCGGCAGCUAUUCUUGCAAGAACUGCGAGAAGGCCAUCGGGGCGGGUUCUUAGAGGCUGGCCUCGUCGGGCGAAGACCCUCGGGGGUUUGACCUCGUGAAAUAGUAUCAUUUGAAUUGCUUUCCGGCUCGGGAUACCCUCUCGCUGCCACGGAGGAGAUAUGGGGUUUUCUUUUUAGAAGCUCUCUAGCACAGAUGAAGCAGGAUGAAUUUAAUCAAAAUAAUUCUUCAAUGGUCUCCCAUAAAGUGGUUGCAGAGUAUGCCAACUCCAAACGAUUGUCUUGCAAGAAUUGUGGGAAGGCCAAAGUUGCAGGUUCUCUGAGGCUGGGCUCUACCAGCAAAGUCCCUGGAGGGUUUGAGCUCCUGAAAUGGUAUCACCUAGGCUGCUUUCCGGUUCAGUUCCACCUGCUUACUGCUGUUAACAUGAUAAUUGGAUUUUCUUCUUUAAAGACAAAGAUGCAUUGAGGAAGCUAGAGGCUGCUGCUUCACCUAGCCAAACUGCCACAGAGGUUAGUUAAAGAGAUGGCAAUGCAAUUGAAGAGUAUGAGGAAAAGGAUUCAAGGAUAACAAAGCUUAACAUGUUCUGCUGUUGAGCUGUAAUUUAGUUAUGGAGCUUAUAUUGUCUUUGAUUUGAUUGCUGUAAUCCAUUUAUCCUUUUUCUUAUAGGUCUGUGCUACAGAUGAAGCUGGACAUGGUAAAUUUACAGAAAAGAGUUGACGAGCCAAAGAUAUGCAUUCAUAUGUCUUUAACUGGAUUGGCGAGAUAACUUCCAUUUUCAAAUGUUAACUUAAUUAAAUAUUUUAUUGGAUAAAAUUUACUUUGUUGGGUGGAUGCGUCUACGUCAAAUUUGCCAGGCUUUAACUUAUAUUUGGAGGAAUAAAUGUAAAUAACCACUUAUUUUAAUGAAACCCAAUAGUUGGAUGUCCUUGAAUAAAAACUGAAAAUUAUCAACACUAGAGUUUCGAACACUAUGUAUGUGUGGCUGUAUAUACGCAUGUGUCAGGCAUGGGGCAUAUGUAUCACAAUGGCUUCUUAAAGUUUAUUUGUUUUAUCUCCUUCUUGUUCUUUUCACUUCUUAUGAUAUCUUGAACAGUUAAAAGUUAUAUAUAAGGUAGUAAUUCCUUGUUUAAUUAGAAAUUUAAAAUGUGUUUAGGAAUAUAGGAUAAUUAAGAUCAUAGCAAGGGUGAGACAGCAAUUAAAGAAAGCAACUGUUGUUGGUAGAAUUUUUUUAAUAAAAAAAAGAGUAUAUUAGAGUUUGGCAUGUCCAUGUAUAAACUUGAGUUUAUUUAUAGAUCUAAAAUCUGUAGGCUGGCAUGCAACCACCCUGUUUUUUUCUGGAUAGGUUGGCCAUAGAUGACUGGCCCUUUUGGCCACCCAGUGAGUAUUAAUUAUGUUCUUUCUAUUCCUGUUAGUUUUUGACAUUGCAAUACCCCUUAUUGUCAUGUUACUGAUGCAACCAAAUAAUUUCAUGCAUAUACUUGGACUUCGUUGUCUGUAGAUGGCAAAAAGAAUGGCUUUGAGAUGGCCUGUUCUGCAUCUGAUGUCAAAGAUAAUUACAAGGUGUUCCUUCCUUUUCUUCAAGCAUACUAGCGAUAUUUGUUCAUCUCUUUACUUGGAAUAAUAUCAGAAGAUAUUUUGUUAUUGUUUGUGUGCAUGCAUUCUCCAACUGCAAUUUUGUUUUACUUUUAACUACUUUUCCUGUGAUGCAUUAGUCUCUAUGGUAAUUUAUGUUUUGCUUUCUUGGUCCAAGAUGCGACCCUUUCACCAAAAUGUAAGGCCUUAAAGACGGUCAUUUCUUGUGAGUGCAUGAGAUUAUUUUAAAAUUAAGUUGUCAUUAUUAUUGUGAUUUCAUUUUGCCAGCAACCAGCUUGCUAAUUGU
Molecule: non-coding RNA, 2119 nt
Organism: Elaeis guineensis (African oil palm)
Lineage: Eukaryota; Viridiplantae; Streptophyta; Magnoliopsida; Arecales; Arecaceae
Source: RefSeq, a predicted model, not a curated record